UGGGGAAUAUUGGACAAUGGGCGAAAGCCUGAUCCAGCCAUGCCGCGUGUGUGAAGAAGGUCUUCGGAUUGUAAAGCACUUUAAGUUGGGAGGAAGGGCAGUAACCUAAUACGUUUCUGUCUUGACGUUACCGACAGAAUAAGCACCGGCUAACUCUGUGCCAGCAGCCGCGGUAAUACAGAGGGUGCAAGCGUUAAUCGGAAUUACUGGGCGUAAAGCGCGCGUAGGUGGUUUGUUAAGUUGGAUGUGAAAUCACCGGGCUCAACCUGGGAACUGCAUUCAAAACUGACAAGCUAGAGUAUGGUAGAGGGUGGUGGAAUUUCCUGUGUAGCGGUGAAAUGCGUAGAUAUAGGAAGGAACACCAGUGGCGAAGGCGACCACCUGGACUGAUACUGACACUGAGGUGCGAAAGCGUGGGGAGCAAACAGGAUUAGAUACCCGGGUAGUCCCUGAGCGGGCUGGCAAGGCGCAU
RNAcentral lists this ribosomal RNA (472 nucleotides) under uncultured bacterium. RNAcentral's name for it is "bacterial SSU rRNA". It matches the Rfam family "Bacterial small subunit ribosomal RNA", at positions 355 to 825 of the family's 1533-position model. The record is from RNAcentral.